UACGUAGGGUGCGAGCGUUAAUCGGAAUUACUGGGCGUAAAGCGUGCGCAGGCGGUUUUGUAAGCCGGAUGUGAAAUCCCCGGGCUUAACCUGGGAAUGGCAUUCGGGACUGCAAGGCUGGAGUGCGGCAGAGGAGACUGGAAUUCCUGGUGUAGCAGUGAAAUGCGUAGAUAUCAGGAGGAACACCGGUGGCGAAGGCAGCGCGCUGGGACGGUACUGACGCUGAGGCGCGAAAGCGUGGGGAGCGAACAGG
Molecule: ribosomal RNA, 253 nt
Filed under: uncultured bacterium
Lineage: Bacteria
Description: partial 16S ribosomal RNA
Rfam family: Bacterial small subunit ribosomal RNA
Source: RNAcentral